Molecule: ribosomal RNA, 253 nt
Filed under: uncultured bacterium
Lineage: Bacteria
Description: partial 16S ribosomal RNA
Rfam family: Bacterial small subunit ribosomal RNA
Source: RNAcentral
GACAGAGGGUGCAAACGUUGUUCGGAAUUACUGGGCGUAAAGCGUGUGUAGGCGGUUUGCUAAGUCGGGUGUGAAAGCCCCGGGCUCAACCCGGGAAGUGCACUCGAAACUGGCAGGCUAGAGUACUGGAGAGGUUGGUGGAAUUCUCGGUGUAGAGGUGAAAUUCGUAGAUAUCGAGAGGAACACCGGUGGCGAAGGCAGCUGACGAAACUGUAACUGACACUGAGGCUCGAAAGUGCGGGGAUCAAACAGG